This 389-nucleotide long non-coding RNA is filed under the name Elaeis guineensis (African oil palm). RNAcentral's name for it is "long non-coding RNA (EGUI_LNC000945)". The record is from RNAcentral. Lineage: Eukaryota; Viridiplantae; Streptophyta; Magnoliopsida; Arecales; Arecaceae.
CUGACUUGAUAUCGUUCCAAAAAGUAUUUCCGAAUCAAUUAUUAGCCCUGCACACAUGAUUAAAGCAGUUCACAAGAACUUUCUCCCUUUUUGUUCAUCACCAGCGUUCACAAGAGCUGGUGCAAUGCACAACUAGUCAAUAAAAUCAUGUCGAACCAUGUUUAGUGUAAUGAUAUAAUCCCAGUACAACAAAAAAGAAAAAAAAAAUGUUGACUAAAUGCUACACCAUAACACUUCUCCAUGUCCAGAGAUACUAUUUCUAUUUAUUGGCAAGAUAAAUCAAAAUGGUGGUGACUUGACCUCGGUGUGUGAGACAAGUCCACCACGCCCACCGCCGAGCUGAAGAAUUGUAGAAAAGCUACCAACGGGCGCUGAAGGGACGAAAGAGG